This 557-nucleotide unclassified non-coding RNA is filed under the name Hevea brasiliensis (rubber tree). The record is from RNAcentral. Lineage: Eukaryota; Viridiplantae; Streptophyta; Magnoliopsida; Malpighiales; Euphorbiaceae.
CACCAUCAACUUUGGCUUUCAUCCAGCCACUCGCUUCAUCAGCAUUUCCCAAAUCUGGUUGGGCCCAGCUACCACAUGCAGUACCUCCCCAAGUGUCCACUUUGUUCUGAGCUUUCUCAUCCUUAUUCCAGGGGUCCGUACCUGUCCUGGAUCUUUUACCCCAAGAAUCAUGAACAGUAUCUUUAUUUAGGGCUUCUGCAGUACUUCCCCAGUUGUCCUUGUUCUGAGAUUUUUGUUGAUUCCACCCAGUAGCAUUGUUACAGUGGUCGUCACCUGCACUGGAGCUUUUACUGUUCCAUGAUCCUGAUUGUACUACAUCCUUACUGCUGCCCAAAGAGUCCAGCUGAUUCUUCUUAGUGGCAAUGUCUCCCCAGCUGGUGGUUGGAUUUCCAAUAACAGUCUUUCCGUUGUCCCAAGCUGUUGCAGCAUCAGUUGUAGAAUUUCCAUCAUAAAGUUUUGAUUGACCCCAGCCAUCUCCAGAAUCUCUUGAAGCACAUGCAGGAUUUUCACUGGGUAAAGUUGCUUUACCCCAGCCAACAGAUGCACCACUGCUAGAA